CAGUCGGACGGGAUUGGAGAGCUUGCUUUCCAUGAGAGUGGCGCACGGGUGCGUAACACGUAUGUAACCUACCUUGAUCAGGGGGAUAGCCUCUCGAAAGAGAGAUUAAGACCGCAUAACAUUGCAAUGUGGCAUCACAAAGCAAUCAAAUAUUUAUAGGAUCAAGAUGGGCAUGCGGAACAUUAGCUAGUUGGUAAGGUAACGGCUUACCAAGGCUACGAUGUUUAGGGGAUCUGAGAGGAUGACCCCCCGCACUGGUACUGAGACACGGACCAGACUCCUACGGGAGGCAGCAGUAAGGAAUAUUGGUCAAUGGACGCAAGUCUGAACCAGCCAUGCCGCGUGCAGGAAGACGGCCCUACGGGUUGUAAACUGCUUUUAUACCGGAAUAAACCUUGAUACGUGUAUCAAGCUGAAUGUACGGUAAGAAUAAGGAUCGGCUAACUCCGUGCCAGCAGCCGCG
This 463-nucleotide ribosomal RNA is filed under the name uncultured soil bacterium. Its description in RNAcentral is "bacterial SSU rRNA". It matches the Rfam family "Bacterial small subunit ribosomal RNA", at positions 59 to 519 of the family's 1533-position model. The record is from RNAcentral.